This 254-nucleotide ribosomal RNA is filed under the name uncultured bacterium. Its description in RNAcentral is "partial 16S ribosomal RNA". It matches the Rfam family "Bacterial small subunit ribosomal RNA", at positions 524 to 776 of the family's 1533-position model. The record is from RNAcentral.
UACGUAGGGUGCGAGCGUUGUCCGGAAUUAUUGGGCGUAAAGAGCUCGUAGGCGGUGUGUCACGUCGAUCGUGAAAACUUACAGCUUAACUGUGAGCGUGCGGUCGAUACGGGCAUCACUGGAGUUCGGCAGGGGAGACUGGAAUUCCUGGUGUAGCGGUGAAAUGCGCAGAUAUCAGGAGGAACACCGGUGGCGAAGGCGGGUCUCUGGGUAGUAACUGACGCUGAGGAACGAAAGCGUGGGUAGCGAACAGG